RNAcentral lists this ribosomal RNA (253 nucleotides) under uncultured bacterium. Its description in RNAcentral is "partial 16S ribosomal RNA". It matches the Rfam family "Bacterial small subunit ribosomal RNA", at positions 524 to 776 of the family's 1533-position model. The record is from RNAcentral.
UACGUAGGGUGCGAGCGUUAGUCGGAAUUACUGGGCGUAAAGCGUGCGCAGGCGGUUUGUUAAGACAGAUGUGAAAUCCCCGGGCUUAACCUGGGAACUGCAUUUGUGACUGGCAAGCUAGAGUAUGGCAGAGGGGGGUAGAAUUCCACGUGUAGCAGUGAAAUGCGUAGAUAUGCGGAGGAACACCGAUGGCGAAGGCAAUCCCCUGGGCCUGCACUGACGCUCAUGCACGAAAGCGUGGGGAGCGAACAGG